AUAAUGGGAUUUCCUAAUUUGGAGAAUUUGACGUCCUUGCGAUACCUGGUGUUGAGAAAUUGCUCCAUCCAUGAUUCCAUUCCAAAUUAUAUUGGUAAAAUGCAAAACUUAAAUAAAGUAGAUUUGAGCUUCAACAAGUUGACCGGUAAAAUCCCAAACAGUAUAAGUAGCUUGACCUACCUAGAU
Neltuma alba is the source of this 186-nucleotide long non-coding RNA. RefSeq lists it as uncharacterized. NCBI's taxonomy places the organism in Eukaryota, Viridiplantae, Streptophyta, Magnoliopsida, Fabales, Fabaceae. The transcript has 3 exons. The record is from RefSeq and is a predicted model, not a curated record.